This 430-nucleotide ribosomal RNA is filed under the name Pseudomonadota bacterium. RNAcentral describes it as "Proteobacteria bacterium partial 16S ribosomal RNA". It matches the Rfam family "Bacterial small subunit ribosomal RNA", at positions 355 to 776 of the family's 1533-position model. Lineage: Bacteria; Pseudomonadati; Pseudomonadota. The record is from RNAcentral.
UGGGGAAUAUUGGACAAUGGGCGCAAGCCUGAUCCAGCCAUGCCGCGUGUGUGAAGAAGGCCUUAUGGUUGUAAAGCACUUUAAGCGAGGAGGAGGGUACUGGUAUUAAUACUACCAGGUACUGGACGUUACUCGCAGAAUAAGCACCGGCUAACUCUGUGCCAGCAGCCGCGGUAAUACAGAGGGUGCGAGCGUUAAUCGGAUUUACUGGGCGUAAAGCGUGCGUAGGCGGCUGAUUAAGUCGGAUGUGAAAUCCCUGAGCUUAACUUAGGAAUUGCAUUCGAUACUGGUCAGCUAGAGUAUGGGAGAGGAUGGUAGAAUUCCAGGUGUAGCGGUGAAAUGCGUAGAUAUAGGAAGGAACACCAGUGGCGAAGGCGACCACCUGGGCUCAUACUGACACUGAGGUGCGAAAGCGUGGGGAGCAAACAGG